GUGAGGAAUAUUGCGCAAUGGAGGCAACUCUGACGCAGCCAUGUCGCGUGCAGGAAGAAGGCGCUACGCGUUGUAAACUGCUUUUAACCGGGAAGAAACCCCAGGACGUGUCCUGGGUUGACGGUACCGGAGGAAUAAGCACCGGCUAACUUCGUGCCAGCAGCCGCGGUAAUACGAAGGGUGCAAGCGUUAUCCGGAUUCAUUGGGUUUAAAGGGUGCGUAGGCGGAGCGUUAAGUCAGUGGUGAAAUCCUGCAGCUUAACUGUAGACGUGCCAUUGAUACUGGCGCUCUUGAGUGCGCUUGAAGUGGGCGGAAUGUGCCGUGUAGCGGUGAAAUGCUUAGAUAUGGCACAGAACACCAAUUGCGAAGGCAGCUCACUAAGGCGAUACUGACGCUGAGGCACGAAAGCGUGGGGAUCGAACAGGAUUAGAUACCCCGGUAGUCC
RNAcentral lists this ribosomal RNA (445 nucleotides) under uncultured bacterium. RNAcentral's name for it is "partial 16S ribosomal RNA". It matches the Rfam family "Bacterial small subunit ribosomal RNA", at positions 354 to 796 of the family's 1533-position model. The record is from RNAcentral.